AGCAGCCGCGGUAAUUCCAGCUCCAAUAGCGUAUAUUAAAGUUGUUGCAGUUAAAAAGCUCGUAGUUGAAUUUCGGGAUUCAUCCGUUGGUCGGGCUUCACGGUCCGUACUGGUGUGAUGGGUUCCUACCUCCUGAAUAACCGGCAUGCCAUUAAUUUGGUGCGCCGGGGAGGCAGAACUAUUACCUUGAAAAAAUUAGAGUGCUUAAAGCGGGCAAGUGCCUGAAUAGGUUAGCAUGGAAUAAUAAAAUAGGACGGCAUGGUUCUAUUUUGUUGGUUUCUAGGAUCACCGUAAUGAUUAAUAGGGAUAGUUGGGGGCAUUAGUAUUCAAUUGUCAGAGGUGAAAUUCUUGGAUUUAUUGAAGACUAACUUCUGCGAAAGCAUUUGCCAAGGAUGUUUUCAUUAAUCAAGAACGAAAGUUAGGGGAUCGAAGACGAUCAGAUACCGUCGU
RNAcentral lists this ribosomal RNA (450 nucleotides) under uncultured Glomeromycotina. Its description in RNAcentral is "SSU rRNA". It matches the Rfam family "Eukaryotic small subunit ribosomal RNA", at positions 569 to 1021 of the family's 1831-position model. The record is from RNAcentral. Lineage: Eukaryota; Fungi; Glomeromycota.